RNAcentral lists this long non-coding RNA (269 nucleotides) under Vigna radiata. Its description in RNAcentral is "long non-coding RNA (VRAD_LNC012965)". The record is from RNAcentral. Lineage: Eukaryota; Viridiplantae; Streptophyta; Magnoliopsida; Fabales; Fabaceae.
GUGACAGCUAGGUGGAUGGGGAAAAUAGGGAGAGACAAACCAAUAACAGGUCUGGAACAUGUCAGGUGACGAUCAAAUGUGUCAACUUUGUUUCUUUUGUUUGUUUGAAUGCUCAGAGCUACACUCAUUCCACUUUACGGAACCUUUGUACUUUCUUUCUUCUUUCCGAUCAAAUAUCCAUCUUACUUUCCGCCUUCUCAUUUCUAAGGAAUACCAUCAACCUGCGAGAUGCCCUCCUAUGUCUUUAUGCUGCAUAAUUUAUAUAAACU